GAUGAAGAACGCAGCGAAAUGCGAUACUUGGUGUGAAUUGCAGAAUCCCGUGAACCAUCGAGUUUUUGAACGCAAGUUGCGCCCGAAGCCAUUAGGCCGAGGGCACGCCUGCCUGGGCGUCACACGUCGUUGCCCACCCAUCUACUCCUUCGGGAUUGCGGGGGGCGGAUGAUGGCCUCCCGUGCGCCUCGCCGCGCGGUUGGCAUAAAUGCCAAGUCCUCGGCGACGCACGCCACGACAAUCGGUGGUUGCGAAACCUCGGUUGCCCGUCGUGUGCGGUCGCCGCGCAUCGAGGGCUCGAAAAAAUUGCCGGGUUCCGGCUCGGCUUUCAACGCGACCCCAGGUCAGGCGGGGUUACCCGCUGAAUUUAAGCAUAUCAAUAAGCGGAGGA
RNAcentral lists this unclassified non-coding RNA (391 nucleotides) under soil metagenome. Its description in RNAcentral is "partial contains 5.8S ribosomal RNA, internal transcribed spacer 2, and large subunit ribosomal RNA". The stretch from base 1 to 122 matches the Rfam family "5.8S ribosomal RNA", at positions 35 to 154 of the family's 154-position model. The record is from RNAcentral.